GAUGAACGCUGGCGGCGUGCUUAACACAUGCAAGUCGAACGGAAAGGCUCCUGCUUGCAGGGGUACUCGAGUGGCGAACGGGUGAGUAACACGUGGGUGAUCUGCCCUGCACUUCGGGAUAAGCCUGGGAAACUGGGUCUAAUACCGGAUAGGACGAUGGUUUGGAUGCCAUUGUGGAAAGUUUUUCGGUGUGGGAUGGGCUCGCGGCCUAUCAGCUUGUUGGUGGGGUAAUGGCCUACCAAGGCGUCGACGGGUAGCCGGCCUGAGAGGGUGUACGGCCACAUUGGGACUGAGAUACGGCCCAGACUCGUACGGGAGGCAGCAGUGGGGAAUAUUGCACAAUGGGCGCGAGUCUGAUGCAGCGACGCUGCGUGGGGGAUGACGGCCUUCGGGUUGUAAACUCCUUUCGCUAGGGACGAAGCGCAAGUGACGGUACCUGGAGAAGAAGCACCGGCUAACUACGUG
Molecule: ribosomal RNA, 465 nt
Filed under: uncultured bacterium
Lineage: Bacteria
Description: partial 16S ribosomal RNA
Rfam family: Bacterial small subunit ribosomal RNA
Source: RNAcentral